AUACGGAGGGUGCAAGCGUUAUCCGGAUUUAUUGGGUUUAAAGGGUUCGUAGGCGGAUCAAUAAGUCCGUGGUGAAAGCCUGUGGCUCAACCAUAGAACUGCCAUUGAUACUGUUGAUCUUGAGUACACUUGAAGUGGGCGGAAUGCGUCAUGUAGCGGUGAAAUGCAUAGAUAUGACGCAGAACACCGAUUGCGAAGGCAGCUCACUAAAUUGUAACUGACGCUGAGGAACGAAAGCGUGGGGAGCGAACAGGAUUAGAUACCCCAGUAGUCC
RNAcentral lists this ribosomal RNA (274 nucleotides) under uncultured bacterium. RNAcentral describes it as "partial 16S ribosomal RNA". It matches the Rfam family "Bacterial small subunit ribosomal RNA", at positions 523 to 796 of the family's 1533-position model. The record is from RNAcentral.